UACCUUGAGGAGUAUUCCUAAAAAAGGGUAAUGGAAUAAAAUAACAGCCUGAGAGGGAGAAAGAAUAAAGAAGGUACUCAAAGACAAUGGUGACAAAAGAAGUCAAACAUCAAUCAAGCUUUAAAUACUGAUAAAGAAAAGAAGUUUAAUGUACCAUCAAAGAAAAACAAUUGUGCUGUUAAAUGAAAGAGCGUCAAAGAAAGAAAGGAGAGAUUAAUCCAGAGGAAGAAAGAAACCAUCACAGCAAGGAGGGAAAACCUAGAACAAAAGCCCGAAAUAUCCUCUGCCUCCUGCAGAUGUCCUCUUGGGGGGGACUACAAGUCCUCAUCCAUUAAUGCAGAUUCCUUAUCUACAUUCAUCUACAGGUUUCAAAAGCCUGAGGUGGGGCUCUACAAGGGGUCCAGCUGCAAAUAACCUCUCAGAAUCAAGGCUGAAUUACUGCAGAUACCUCUGUAAAGGUAAGAAGACAGAUCCUCAGAUCAUAUAAAUUGGUGCAGCCCUGCUGAUGACUGUGAUGUUAUGGUGAUUGAUACCAGCAGGGCCAUAAUACAGCUAAAGUAAAUGGUCUGCAGAUUUAAAUGCCUGCUGCUAACGGGUCCCAUGGUAAAUCAAUGGCUGACUUGUUAGUUUCUCUUUAAAAUGGACUCAGAAGGU
Long non-coding RNA from Neopsephotus bourkii (Bourke's parrot), 654 nucleotides. RefSeq lists it as uncharacterized. NCBI's taxonomy places the organism in Eukaryota, Metazoa, Chordata, Aves, Psittaciformes, Psittacidae. The transcript is spliced from 3 exons. The record is from RefSeq and is a predicted model, not a curated record.